RNAcentral lists this transfer RNA (78 nucleotides) under Candidatus Nealsoniibacteriota bacterium. RNAcentral describes it as "Candidatus Nealsonbacteria bacterium tRNA-Arg". It matches the Rfam family "tRNA". From Rfam's summary of the family: Transfer RNA (tRNA) molecules are approximately 80 nucleotides in length. Lineage: Bacteria; Candidatus Nealsoniibacteriota. The record is from RNAcentral.
CUCCCUGUAGCUCAACUUGGAUAGAGCAGCUGCCUUCUAAGCAGCAGGUUGGAGGUUCGAAUCCUCCCAGGGAGGCCG